RNAcentral lists this ribosomal RNA (800 nucleotides) under Peronospora sp. Aquilegia. RNAcentral's name for it is "eukaryotic LSU rRNA". It matches the Rfam family "Eukaryotic large subunit ribosomal RNA", at positions 40 to 667 of the family's 3401-position model. The record is from RNAcentral. Lineage: Eukaryota; Oomycota; Peronosporomycetes; Peronosporales; Peronosporaceae.
AUAUCCAAAUAGCGGAGGAAAAGAAACUAACAAGGAUUCCCCUAGUAACGGCGAGUGAAGCGGGAUGAGCUCAAGCUUAAAAUCUCCGUACAAGUUUUGUACGGCGAAUUGUAGUCUAUAGAGGCGUGGUCAGCGUGAGCGCUUGGGGUAAGUUCCUUGGAAGAGGACAGCAUGGAGGGUGAUACUCCCGUUCAUCCCUGAGUGGCUCGUGCGUACGACCCGUUUUCUUUGAGUCGCGUUGUUUGGGAAUGCAGCGCAAAGUAGGUGGUAAAUUCCAUCUAAAGCUAAAUAUUGGUGCGAGACCGAUAGCGAACAAGUACCGUGAGGGAAAGAUGAAAAGAACUUUGAAAAGAGAGUUAAAGAGUACCUGAAACUGCUGAAAGGGAACCGAAUCGUUUCCAGUGUCUAUAAUCCGUGGCAUAUUUCAUUGGCGAGUGUGUGCGUGCGUGUGCUGUGGCAGCGGCCUUUUGGCUGCGCUUGGCGCAUGUGGUGUGCGUGCUUGCUGGUGCCCUGUGCUGCGGUGGGACGUCAACGUCAGUUCGUAUGCUGCGGGAAAUGGCUGCCGAGGAGGUAGGGCUUACGCUUGCGUUUGUCUGUUAUAUCUUGGUGGACGAGUCGUCGCGGUUGGGACUGAGGUGCCUACAACGUGCUUUUGAGUGGGUUUGUGUCUCCGUGUGUGCCAUGUGCGGAUAGCUUGCUAUGCGUGUGUGGUUAUGUGUGGAUUGAUACGGGCUUUAACUUGUUGCCGUUCGGGACGUUGACGAAAUGGAGCGAUCCGACCCGUCUUGAACCCACGGACC